This 491-nucleotide ribosomal RNA is filed under the name Escherichia coli. RNAcentral's name for it is "bacterial SSU rRNA". It matches the Rfam family "Bacterial small subunit ribosomal RNA", at positions 91 to 578 of the family's 1533-position model. The record is from RNAcentral. Lineage: Bacteria; Pseudomonadati; Pseudomonadota; Gammaproteobacteria; Enterobacterales; Enterobacteriaceae.
ACGAGUGGCGGACGGGUGAGUAAUGUCUGGGAAACUGCCUGAUGGAGGGGGAUAACUACUGGAAACGGUAGCUAAUACCGCAUAACGUCGCAAGACCAAAGAGGGGGACCUUCGGGCCUCUUGCCAUCGGAUGUGCCCAGAUGGGAUUAGCUAGUAGGUGGGGUAACGGCUCACCUAGGCGACGAUCCCUAGCUGGUCUGAGAGGAUGACCAGCCACACUGGAACUGAGACACGGUCCAGACUCCUACGGGAGGCAGCAGUGGGGAAUAUUGCACAAUGGGCGCAAGCCUGAUGCAGCCAUGCCGCGUGUAUGAAGAAGGCCUUCGGGUUGUAAAGUACUUUCAGCGGGGAGGAAGGGAGUAAAGUUAAUACCUUUGCUCAUUGACGUUACCCGCAGAAGAAGCACCGGCUAACUCCGUGCCAGCAGCCGCGGUAAUACGGAGGGUGCAAGCGUUAAUCGGAAUUACUGGGCGUAAAGCGCACGCAGGCGG